RNAcentral lists this ribosomal RNA (460 nucleotides) under uncultured bacterium. RNAcentral describes it as "partial 16S ribosomal RNA". It matches the Rfam family "Bacterial small subunit ribosomal RNA", at positions 338 to 795 of the family's 1533-position model. The record is from RNAcentral.
CCUACGGGUGGCUGCAGUGAGGAAUACUGGUCAAUGGGCGAGAGCCUGAACCAGCCAAGUCGCGUGAAGGAUGAAGGAUCUCUGGUUAGUAAACUUCUUGUAUAUGGGUGUACAGUGAGAAACUUGUCCCAUUUUGUACGUACCAUAUGUACAAGCAUGGGCUAACUCGGUGCCAGCAGCCGCGGUAAUACGGAGGAUGCGAGCGUUAUCCGGAGUUCGUGGGUUUAAAGGGUGCGUAGGUGGUUAAUUAAGUGAGCGGUGAAAGUUUGUGGCUCAACCAUAAAUUUGCCGUUGAAACUGGUUGACUUGAGUAUAUGUGGGGUAAGCGGAAUGCGUGGUGUAGCGGUGAAAUGCAUAGAUAUCAGGCAGAACUCCGAGUGCGAAGGCAACUUACUAAACUAUAACUGACACUGAAGCACGAAAGCGUGGGGAUCAAACAGGAUUAGAUACCCGAGUAGUC